Transfer RNA from Bacteroidales bacterium KA00251, 74 nucleotides. It matches the Rfam family "tRNA". Rfam says of the family: Transfer RNA (tRNA) molecules are approximately 80 nucleotides in length. Their secondary structure includes four short double-helical elements and three loops (D, anti-codon, and T loops). The record is from Rfam. Lineage: Bacteria; Pseudomonadati; Bacteroidota; Bacteroidia; Bacteroidales.
GUGAUCGUAGUUCAGCUGGUUAGAGCACCAGAUUGUGGUUCUGGGGGUCGUGGGUUCGAAUCCCACCGGUCACC